GAUGAACGCUGGCGGCGUGCCUAAUACAUGCAAGUAGAACGCUGAAGCUUUGGUGCUUGCACCGAGCGGAUGAGUUGCGAACGGGUGAGUAACGCGUAGGUAACCUGCCUCUUAGCGGGGGAUAACUAUUGGAAACGAUAGCUAAUACCGCAUAAAAGUCGAUAUCGCAUGAUGUUGACUUGAAAGGUGCAAUUGCAUCACUAAGAGAUGGACCUGCGUUGUAUUAGCUAGUUGGUGAGGUAACGGCUCACCAAGGCGACGAUACAUAGCCGACCUGAGAGGGUGAUCGGCCACACUGGGACUGAGACACGGCCCAGACUCCUACGGGAGGCAGCAGUAGGGAAUCUUCGGCAAUGGACGGAAGUCUGACCGAGCAACGCCGCGUGAGUGAAGAAGGUUUUCGGAUCGUAAAGCUCUGUUGUAAGAGAAGAACGAGUGUGAGAGUGGAAAGUUCACACUCGUAGACGGUAACUUAUCCAGAAAGGCAGCGUC
Molecule: ribosomal RNA, 492 nt
Filed under: Streptococcus parasanguinis
Lineage: Bacteria; Bacillati; Bacillota; Bacilli; Lactobacillales; Streptococcaceae
Description: bacterial SSU rRNA
Rfam family: Bacterial small subunit ribosomal RNA
Source: RNAcentral